AGUGAACGCUGGCGGUAGGCCUAACACAUGCAAGUCGAACGGCAGCACAGUAAGAGCUUGCUCUUACGGGUGGCGAGUGGCGGACGGGUGAGGAAUACAUCGGAAUCUACUUUUUCGUGGGGGAUAACGUAGGGAAACUUACGCUAAUACCGCAUACGACCUACGGGUGAAAGCAGGGGAUCUUCGGACCUUGCGCGAUUGAGUGAGCCGAUGUCGGAUUGGCUAGUUGGCGGGGUAAAGGCCCACCAAGGCGACGAUCCGUAGCUGGUCUGAGAGGAUGAUCAGCCACACUGGAACUGAGACACGGUCCAGACUCCUACGGGAGGCAGCAGUGGGAAAUAUUGGACAAUGGGCGCAAGCCUGAUCCAGCCAUACCGCGUGGGUGAAGAAGGCCUUCGGGUUGUAAAGCCCUUUUGUUGGGAAAGAAAAGCAGCAGGUUAAUACCCCGCUGUUCUGACGGUACCCAAAGAAUAAGCACCGGCUAACUUCGUG
Molecule: ribosomal RNA, 492 nt
Filed under: uncultured bacterium
Lineage: Bacteria
Description: partial 16S ribosomal RNA
Rfam family: Bacterial small subunit ribosomal RNA
Source: RNAcentral